Molecule: ribosomal RNA, 253 nt
Filed under: uncultured bacterium
Lineage: Bacteria
Description: partial 16S ribosomal RNA
Rfam family: Bacterial small subunit ribosomal RNA
Source: RNAcentral
UACGUAGGGGGCAAGCGUUGUCCGGAUUUACUGGGCGUAAAGAGCGUGUAGGCGGCCAGGCAGGUCUGUUGUGAAAACUGGAGGCUUAACCUCCAGACGUCGACAGAAACCGCUUGGCUAGAGUCCGGAAGAGGAGAGUGGAAUUCCUGGUGUAGCGGUGAAAUGCGCAGAUAUCAGGAAGAACACCAAUGGCGAAGGCAGCUCUCUGGGACGGUACUGACGCUGAGACGCGAAAGCGUGGGGAGCGAACAGG